AUUCCAGCUCCAAUAGCGUAUAUUUAAGUUGUUGCAGUUAAAAAGCUCGUAGUUGGAUCUUGGGUCGUAAGGGUCGGUCCGCCUACUCGGUGUGCACCUGCCCUUCCGUCCCUUUUGUCGGCGGCGUGCUCCUGGCCUUAAUUGGCUGGGUCGCGGUUCCGGCGCUGUUACUUUGAAAAAAUUAGAGUGCUCAAAGCAAGCUUAUGCUCUGAAUACAUUAGCAUGGAAUAACGUGAUAGGAGUCUGGUCCUAUUGUGUUGGCCUUCGGGACCGGAGUAAUGAUUAAUAGGGACUGUCGGGGGCAUUCGUAUUUCAAUGUCAGAGGUGAAAUUCUUGGAUUUAUGAAAGACGGACCACUGCGAAAGCAUUUGCCAAGGAUGUUUUCAUUA
RNAcentral lists this ribosomal RNA (389 nucleotides) under Embryophyta sp. Its description in RNAcentral is "partial small subunit ribosomal RNA". It matches the Rfam family "Eukaryotic small subunit ribosomal RNA", at positions 582 to 975 of the family's 1831-position model. The record is from RNAcentral. Lineage: Eukaryota; Viridiplantae; Streptophyta.